Molecule: long non-coding RNA, 7327 nt
Filed under: Homo sapiens (human)
Lineage: Eukaryota; Metazoa; Chordata; Mammalia; Primates; Hominidae
Description: non-protein coding TPT1-AS1:54
Source: RNAcentral
GUUGGACCCGGCUCCGCCCUACCCCACGGGGCCGCCUGGAGAGGUGCUGGGAGCUGGGUGGAGCUUAGAGGAAUUAAACUUUGGCCCUGCGCCUCGUCCAGCCUAGGUUCCACCCUUUUCUGGGAACGCUGGAGUGCAGUGGCACCAUCUCGGCUCACUGCAACCUCUGGCUCCCAGGUUCAAGCGAUUCUCCUGCCUCAGCCCCCUGAGUAGCUGGGAUUACAGGCACGCGCCACCACUCCCAGGGUCUUACUCUGUGACCCACGCUGGAGUGCAAUGGCACCAUCACGACUUACUGAAGCCUCCACUUCCCGGGCUCAAGUGAUUCUCACACCUCAGCCUCCUGAGUAGCUGAGACCACAGAUGGAGUUUUGCUCUUGUUGCCCAGGCUGGAGUGCAAUGGCAAGAUCUCAGCUCACCACAACCUCUGCCUUCUUUUUUCUUCUGUUUUUAAAACUUGUGGUAAAAUCUAGAUAACAAAAAGUUUGCCAUUUUAACCAUUUUUAAGUGGACAGUUCAGUGGCAUUAGUUACAUUCCCAAUGUUGUGUAACCACCACUAUUAUCCAUUUCCAGAAGGUUUUCAUCACCCGAAACAGAAACUCUGUACCCAUUAAAUAGUAACUCCCCAUUCUACCCUUCUCUCCCUCCAUAACCUCUGUUUUACCUUCUGCAUCCAUCAAGUUGCCUGUUAUAGAUAAUUCACAUAGAAUCAUUCAGUAUUUGUUUCUUUUUGUAUCACGUAUCAAAAUUUCCUUUUUUUUUUUUUGCUUUUGAGACAGUCUUGCUUUGUCGCCCAGGCUGGAGUGCAGGUGCACAACCAUGGCUCACUGCAGCCCUCACCUCUCCUGCUCGAGAGUUCCUCCCACCUCAGCCAUCUGAGUAGCUGGGACUACAUGUGUGCGCCACCAUACCCAACUAAUUUUUUGGUUUUUUUUGUACAUACGGGGUUUUGCCAUGUGGCCCAGGGUGGUCUCGAACUCCUGGGCUGAAGUGAUCCACCCACCUUGGUCUCCCAAAGUGUUGGGAUUACAAGCAUGAGCCACUGCGCUGGAAUGCAAUGACACGAUCUCAGCUCACUGCAACCUCUGCCUCUCGGGUUCAAGUGAUUCUCCUGCCUCAGCCUCCCAAGUAGCUGGGAGUAGAGCCAUGCGCCACCACGCCCGGCUAAUUUUUGUAUUUUUAGUAGAGACGGGGUUUCGCCAUGUUGGUCAGGCUGAUCUCGAUCUCCUGACCUCAGGUGAUCACCUGCCUCAGCCUCCCAAAGUCCUGGGAUUACAGACGUGAGCCACUGCGCCUGGCCUAUGCUUUAAAAUAAAAAUAGAGAUUGGGUGUCUGGCUAUUAUGUUGCCCAGGCUGGUCUUGAACUCCUGGCCUCAUCCUUCCCCCUCCACCUCCCAAAGCACGGGGAUUAUAGGUGUGAGCCACCACAUCUUAUCCUUCUGGUGCAUUUUGAAGGUAGAGACCCUAAGUCAGAUUUGCUGAUGAAUCAAUGUGGGGGACGUGGCACAGUUAACCACUCCCUCCCCUCCCCUCCCCAUCCCCGUCCCCUCUGUCGUCCCCUCCCCCUCCCCUCACCCCUUCCCUCUCCUUUUUUUUUUUUUUUUUUUUUUUUUUUUUUGAGAGGGAGUUUCGCUCUUGUCCCCCAGGCUGGAGUGCAAUGGCGUAAUCUUGGCUCAUCGCAACCUUCGCCUCCUGGGUUCAUGCAGUUCUCCUGUCUCAGCCUCCAGAGUAGGUGGGAUUACAGGUGCACACCACCAUGCCUAGCUAAUUUUUAUAUUUUUAGUAGAGAUGAGGUUUUGCCAUGUUGGUCAGGCUAGUCUCAAACUCCUGGCCUCAAGCGAUCUGCUGGCCUUGGCCUCCCAAAGUGUAAGGAUUACAGGCAUGAGCACCGCCCCAGCCCACACCCUUUUGCUUGAGGCACUUUUUUCUUCUUUUUUUUUGAGGCGGAGUCUUGCUCUUUCGCCCAGGCUGGAGUGCAGUGGCGCUAUCUCGAGCCCCGCCUCCCGGGUUCACGACAUUCUCCUGCCUCAGCCUCCUGAGUAUCUGGGACUACCGGCGUCUGCCACCACGCCCAGCUAAUUUUUUUUUUGCAUUUUUACUAGAGACGGGUUUUCACUGUGUUAGCCAGGAUGGACACUUUCUUCUUCCUUUGGAAAUACAUCCUCUGGUUUCCCUCCUCCCUCGCUGGCCUCUCCUCUCAGACUCUUCUGCCUGCUCUACUCCAGGUGCAUUGAAAUGCCCCAGACCUCUGUGUGGGGAGUCUUCUAUGCCACACCCUUCCUAGAUGACAUCAUCUGGCCCUAAGUUUUCAGUAUGAGUCAAUGUGUUGGUGAUGCCCAGAUUCCCACCUCCAGCCCUGAUUUCUUCCAAGUGCUCUAGAGUCAUAUACUUAUUUGCCUGCUUGAUGUCCCUUCUUGGAUGUCAAACAGUCAUCUCAAAAUUCAACUCUUGAUCCUCUCCCCUGCUCCAAACUUCGCCAUCUCAGUAAAUGCGUUAUAUUCCUCCUGGUUGCAUAGGCUUCAAACCUAGGAGUCAUCCUUGAAUAGACCCUCUUUCUUGCCUCCGCGUUUGAGCUUUCAGCAAGUCCUGUCAUUCAGACCAUUCACACGUAUUGAAAAUCCAUCCCUUUCUUGCCGUCUUGACUGAACGUUCUGAUGAAGUCGUCACCACUGCUCCCUGGACCUCUGUCCUCACUAACAGCGCUUCCUGUUUCCAUUCCUGCUGCUCCAGAGUCCAUCCAUCUCCUCCCUUUUCAGAGAGGCUUCUCUGACCACCCUUUGCAAUGGCUGCUCCAUGGCCCCUGCUAGAACAGGCUGUCAUGCUCUUGUGGGUCUGCUUGUAUAUUUAUCUCUUUUCUGCCUCCACUAGAAGGUGAGCUCUGACAGGGCAGAGGUUCUGGCUGCCUGGUUCCGUGCUGCAUUUUCAGAGUCUAGAAUAGUGCCUAGCACAUGGUACGUGAUGAGGAAAUCUCUUUCCUGAUGAAUGAGCGAAGCAGAGAAUCCUCAGAAUCCGAGGAUGCUCUCUCUCUGUCUUGGGAGCUAGAGGAACUCUUCAUUUUUCCCUUCAUGAAUCUGCUCCACUGUCCUUUCUGUUUAUUGGCUUCCUCAGUGUUUGGUUUGCCAUGGCGCCAUCUUGGUCCCAUUUCUCAUGCUCUGCUCAGCUCAAAGCAGUCCACGGGUUCAACUCUCAGUGCCCCAGGAAGGGGAAACCCACUUCACUUGGGUCAAGUGUUCAUUUUCCAUCCUCCCUGUCUCCACCCCAAUCAGCAAAGGCUAGUGGCUGGUGGUAAAAGGAAGGCUAGUGGCUGGGGGUAAAAGGCCACCAGCAGAGGGGGCUCUCCAGAGGCAGGCCCAUCCCCAGCUCCUCCCGAGUAAGUGCCAAUCACCCAGAGGUGGAUCCUCUUUCAGGGCCCUGACUUGCAAAGCUGAGGACCAGCUUCCUGUCAGUGGUAACCCUCAGUGAGGGCCUUGUCUGAGCAGCCAGCAGCCUCUGAGACAUUUCCACAUGGGCACUGGCUAACUUAAAAAAGAUAAGUAUUCACCCUUCCCAGGAGGUACUGAUGUCAGGAAUAGCCAAGAGUGCAGUCUUGGUCUGUAAGGAGGUGGCCCUUCCACUCCAUACGGCCCUUCCCAGGAUACUGCUGUAUCCUGGGGUCUGCUCGUGGUGCCAGCAAGCAGGCGUUCCUUGGGAGCCCCCCUCAGCCCUCCCACCCACUGCUGUCCUCUCUCCCUGCCCCCAUCUGUGUAAGGACCCUCUGAUAUAUGUUCACUUAGUAAGCUGUGUGUGUGUAGUGGGGUGUCUUUGUCAAUGAUCUGCUCCUUUUCUCUGAAAACUUUAAGGACUUUGAUAUUUUUGGAUUCACAAUAGUAUGUGUAGAUGUCAGAUUUUCCUCAUCUCUCUCCUGUGGCCUCUGUGGGUUCUCUCAGUCUGAGGUCUUUCAUCUCUCUUUAAUUCUGGGAAAUUAAUCUCCAUUCUGUCUUCAAAUAUCACCUCCCUUCCAUAUUUUCCCCUUCCUUCUGCAACUCCUAUUACCUGGAUAUUAACAUUUCUGUUUCUGUCCUCCAUGAUUCUAACUUUUUAAGUUAUUUUCCUUGUUUUUUUUUUAUCCUUUCUUUCCUAUCAGAAUUUCUCAAGUUGAUCUUUCAUUUUCACUAAUUCUUUUCUUGACCGUGUCAAUUUAUUCCAUUAAUUCUGUUCUGUAUGUCAAUAUUAUAUUUUUUACCCUGAUCUUUCCACUUGGCUCUUCUGUAUGGUUUGUUGUUUUUGUGACAUGGUCAUGGCGGUGUGGGUUGUGGUGGGAGGGGGUUACCCCCGAUAUAGUCUGGAUAUUUGUCUGCGCCUAAAUCUCCUGUCAGAAUGUAAUAGUGGGUGCUAGAGGUGGGGCCUGGUGGGAGGUGUUUGGACCAGGGGGGCAGUGUUAGUGCCCCGCAUAUGCUCUCUUUGCGAAAAUAAGCAAGUUAUUAAAAAAUCUGGUCAUGUAAAAGUAUGUGACACCUCUCCCCCUCCCUGCUCCUGCUUUCUCCAUGUGAAAUGCCUGCUCCCACUUCGCCUUCUGCCAUGAUUGAAAGAUCCUUGAGUCUUCAUCAGAAGCUGAGCAGAUGCCAGCACCAUGCUUCCUGUACAGCCUGUAGAACCAUGAGCCAAUUAAAUCUCUUUUCUUUAUAAAUUACCCAGUCUCAGGUUUUUUUUUUUUUUUUUUGAGAUGGAGUUUCACUCUUGUUUCCCAGGCUGGAGUGCAAUGGCGUGAUCUUGGCUCACUGCAACCUCUGCCUCCCGGGUUCAAGUAAUUCUCUUGCCUCAGCCUCCCGAGUAGUUGGGAUUACAGGCGUACACCACCACACCUGGGUAAUUACGUAUUUUCAGUAGAGACGGGUUUCUCCAUGUUGGUCAGGCUGGUCUCGAACUCCUGACCUCGGGUGAUCCGCCUGCCUCGGCGUCCCAAAGUACUGGGAUUACAGGUAUGAGCCACCGUGCCCAGCCGGUUUUUUUUUUUUUUUUUGUAUAGCAAUGGAAGAAUGGCCUCGUACACACGCUAGAGUGGAAAGUCCCAGGCACCAAGGCUUCCCACCCUAGAAGCAAGCUCAGGGCUUUCUCUUCAUCCUUCCAGGGAGAGCACUGAGAGAUGAUGGGGGGUUGGCAGGGGGCAUCCCUUGGAUUAUCAUUCUCCAGACUUAGGCUUGGAGGGGAGGGUGGAGAAGUGGAUUUCUGGGUCUGGUCCACCUCACCUGUUUUCUCAGCUUCUCACCCACUCAGAGCUCUUGCCCCAAUUCUCCCUUUCAUCCUGCAGAUCCCUGCGCCUGACUCAUCUCAGGCGAGGAGGCAAAUCAUCAGUUAUCUCAGGCAGCAGCAGGACGAGACUCCUUUCUGAUUUUCUCCUUCCCUGGCCACCUCUCCCCACCCCAUAUUCACUCAUUCCAAACCUCUGGCCUCCCCAGCAACUCUACAUCCUCAUCUCCAUCUGUUCCCUCUCUCGAUGCUGUGGGUGACGUUGGAGAGGGAAGCCCGGAGCCCUGACCUAGUCCGGCGUGGAGAGAGGAAUGGAAAGCAGUGUCCCUUUUGAGAAGGCAAAUUUACAGCUGGCUUUUGUAAUCCUAGCUAUUUUUUGUUUGUUUGCUAAGUCUUUGAUAGUCCCCAGUGUGGUUUGUCUGCCAGUGAUCUCAGCACCACCAGAGAGCUUGUUAGAAAUGCGGCAUCCCAACCCCACCACAGCCCUCCCAAGUCAGAUACUGCCACCUCACGAGGCCCCCCAGGGAUCCACAAGUUCAUUAAAGUUUCAGGAAUCCAAUUCUACUACAAAAUAUACAUUUAUAAUUAGGAAAAGGAUAGUUUCUUUUAAAUGGUAGAACUUCCCCAAUGAGUCAGCUACCUGUAUUUCUGGCCUGUCAGGCUAGACACUGGAGACCAUUCUGCAUAGAAUUGUACCUCCCUGAACUACUGUUAGGCCUUAGGGUGGGGAUUCAUCUUUCCCUUCUCCCCACCAUGGAGACAAAAUCCUCUUAAACAUAUCCGGGCCUGGCAUGGUGGCUCACGCCUGUAAUCCCAACACUAUGGGAGUCCGAGGAGGGUGGAUUACCUGAGGUCGGGAGUUUGAGACCAGCCUGACCAACAUGGAGAAACCCCGUCUCUACUAAAAAUACAAAAUUAGCCGGGCAUGGUGGCACAUGCCUGUAAUCCCAGCUACUCGGGAGGCUGAGGCGGGAGAAUUGCUUGAACCUGGGAGGCAGAGGUUGCAGUGAGCCAAGAUCACGCCAUUGCACUCCAGCCUUGGCAACAAGAGCAAAACUCCAUCUCAAAAAACAAAAACAAAAACAAAAAAUAAAACAUAUCCAGCAGUAGGCCAGACACGGUGGCUCACCCCUGUAAUCCCAGCACUUUGGGAGGCUGAGGCAGGUGGAUCACUGGAGGUCAGGAGUUUGAGACCAGCCUGGCCAACAUGGUGAAACCCCAUCCUUUACUAAAAAUACAAAAAUUAGCUGGGUGUGGGGGCAUGUGCCUGUAAUUCCAGCUACUCAGGAGGCUAAGGUAGAAGAAUCGCUUGAACCCAGGAGGCGGAGGUUGCAGUGAGCCGAGAUCGUGCCACUGCACUCCAGCCUGGGCUACAGAGUGAGACUCCAUCUCAAAAAACAAACAUGGUGGCUCACGCCUGUAAUCCCAGCACUUUGGGAGGCCGAAGCAGGUGGAUCACCUGAGGUCAGGAGUUCGAGACCAGCCUGGCCAAGAUGGUGAAACCCUGUCUCUACUAAAAAUACAAAAAUUAGCCAGGCAUGGUGGUGGGCGCCUGUAGUACCAGCUACUUGGGAGGCUGAAGCAGGAGAAUCGCUUGAACCCAGGAGGUGGAGGUUGCAGUGAGCCAAGAUCAUGCCACUGCACUCCAGCCUGGGCGACAGAGCGAGACUCUGUCUCAAACAGGCCAGGCGUGGUGGCUCAUGCCUGUAAUACCAGCACUUUGGUAGGCCAGGAGUUCAAGAUGAGCCUGGCCAACAUGGUGAAACCCCGUCUAUACUAAAAAUACAAAAAGACUGGCGUGGUGGUGGGCGCCUGUAAUCACAGCUACUUGGGAGGCUGAGGCAGGAGAAUCGCUCGAACCCAGGAGGCGAAGGUUGCGGUGAGCCAACAUUGCACCACUGCACUCCAGCCUGGGCGACACAGCAAGACUCUGCCUCAAAAUAAAUAAACAAACAAACAAAAAUAUCUGGCAGCAAUUUUCAAGCAUUCAAAAGAGAUGUGAAGGAAAAAAAUUUGGCCGGGAGCAGUGGCUCACGCCUGUAAUCCCAGCACUCUGGGAGGCCAAGGUGUGCGGAUCACGAGGUCAAGAGUUCGAGACCA